This 847-nucleotide ribosomal RNA is filed under the name Rhagoletis electromorpha. RNAcentral's name for it is "partial 16S ribosomal RNA". The record is from RNAcentral. Lineage: Eukaryota; Metazoa; Arthropoda; Insecta; Diptera; Tephritidae.
GUUUUUUUAGAAAUAAAUUUAAUUUACAAGUUUUUAAUUUUUUGUUUAUUUAUUAAAUUAAAAAAAUUAUUAAUUUGAAUAUUUUAAGGGAUAAGCUUUAAAAUAAAUUAUUAAAAAUUAGUAAUUUUAAUAUAAAAUGUAUGAAUAGAAUUUUUAAUCAUUUAUAAGUUUGUUAUAAAUUAUUUUAUAAUUUAUAUUAUUUACUAUUGUUUUAAAUUUUUAUAAAAAUGUUUUCAUAAAUUUUUCAUGAAAAUUAAUAAUGAUAAAAUUAGUAUAUUUAUGUUGUAUAUAUAAUUUUAUUUGAUAAGUUUAUAUAAAGAACUCGGCAAAUUUAUAUACUCGCCUGUUUAACAAAAACAUGUCUUUUUGAGUUAUUUUUAAAGUCUAGCCUGCCCACUGAAUAAUUUUAAAUGGCCGCAGUAUUUUAACUGUGCAAAGGUAGCAUAAUCAUUAGUCUUUUAAUUGAAGGCUGGUAUGAAUGGUUGGACGAAGUAUAAGCUGUUUCAUUUAAAUUUAUUAUAGAAUUUUAUAUUUUAGUUAAAAAGCUAAAAUUUAAUUAAAAGACGAGAAGACCCUAUAAAUCUUUAUAUUUAAUAUUAUUUUAAUUUUUUAGAUACAUUUUAUUUUAAUAUUAUUAAAUAUUUUGUUGGGGUGAUGUUAAAAUUUAAUAAACUUUUAAUUAUAAAAAUCAUUAAUUUAUGAUUUAUUGAUCCUUUAAUAAAGAUUAUAAGAUUAAGUUACUUUAGGGAUAACAGCGUAAUUUUUUUGGAGAGUUCUUAUUGAUAAAAAAGUUUGCGACCUCGAUGUUGGAUUAAGAUAUAUUUUUAGGUGUAGUAGCUUAAAUAUU